CCAUCUGGAGCGGUAGGAUAAUAAUCCCGUAUUCAAAUCUAGUUAAAUCCCGCAUCCAACUCUAGUAAAAUAGCGGUUACAAGGAUGACAUGAUUGACGCCUGCAACAACCCGUCGUGCUGAGCAUUGAAGGAAGAAAAGGAGCGUGGGACGAAAAGAUUUCAAUUAACGUUGAGUUCAGGUAAUGUUCUGCAUUAUGUAUUUGGUUGCAAAAUCCUUGGUUGUAAUGCACAACUAGAUUUGAAUCUGUACUGCACAGGAUUGUAGUGGACAUAACUUUGGCCUUAAUUAGUUCACGAAGCCUUGAUUUUAGAAAUUUUGUUCCCUUUGAUGUGCCAUGGUGAAUUUUAAUGAACAUUAAAAAAGUUGUUUGUAGGGCGAAGGAGAAAUCAUAGGCUGAUAGAUAACCAAGUUCAAGUCUUAUCUGUGGAGGAAACCUAGGGUGAUCUGCCCCUGCAUUUGAAUAUCCUCCACAAGCUCAGAGUAAUAUAUGCACACCGUAUGCUAACAUGGCUGGAGAACAAAAGAACAGUGCUGAACAAGAUGGUGUAGUUUAAAACUAAAGAGUUAUGUCAAUGCUUAUGUAAUCAAUAAUGUUACUGGUUCUUUUGGAACAAGUAGUUUAUUAAGCUGUUUGGAUUGAAUGGAAUGCUUUUAUUUUUUUUAUAAACCUCUAUAGUGGUGAUAAAUUGAAUGGCUUAAAUGGAUUUAUAUUGAUUU
Daucus carota subsp. sativus is the source of this 719-nucleotide long non-coding RNA. RefSeq lists it as uncharacterized. The record is from RefSeq and is a predicted model, not a curated record. Lineage: Eukaryota; Viridiplantae; Streptophyta; Magnoliopsida; Apiales; Apiaceae. The transcript is spliced from 4 exons.